AUACGGAGGGUGCAAGCGUUAUCCGGAAUCAUAGGGUUUAAAGGGUCCGCAGGCGGAUUAAUAAGUCAGUGGUGAAAUCCUCUCGCUCAACGAGAGAACUGCCAUUGAAACUGUUAGUCUUGAAUUCGGUCGAAGUAGGCGGAAUGUGUCAUGUAGCGGUGAAAUGCAUAGAUAUGACACAGAACACCGAUAGCGAAGGCAGCUUACUAGACCUGGAUUGACGCUCAUGGACGAAAGCGUGGGGAGCGAACAGGAUUAGAAACCCCGGUAGUCC
RNAcentral lists this ribosomal RNA (274 nucleotides) under uncultured bacterium. RNAcentral describes it as "partial 16S ribosomal RNA". It matches the Rfam family "Bacterial small subunit ribosomal RNA", at positions 523 to 796 of the family's 1533-position model. The record is from RNAcentral.